CACGUAGUUAGCCGUGGCUUUCUGGUUAGGUACCGUCAAGGUGCCGCCCUAUUCGAACGGCACUUGUUCUUCCCUAACAACAGAGCUUUACGAACCGAAAUCCUUCAUCACUCACGCGGCGUUGCUCCGUCAGACUUUCGUCCAUUGCGGAAGAUUCCCUACUGCUGCCUCCCGUAGGAGUCUGGGCCGUGUCUCAGUCCCAGUGUGGCCGAUCACCCUCUCAGGUCGGCUACGCAUCGUCGCCUUGGUGAGCCAUUUCCUCACCAACUAGCUAAUGCGCCGCGGGCCCAUCCUGUAGUGAUAGCCGGAGCCAUCUUUUAAUCCGAGUUCAGGUGAACUCGGAAGUUAUCCGGUAUUAGCACCGAUUUCUCGGUGUUAUCCCAGUCUACAGGGCAGGUUGCCCACGUGUUACUCACCCGUCCGCCGCUAACCUCUGGGAGCAAGCUCCCAUUAGUCCGCUCGACUUGCAUGUAUUAGGCACGCCGCCAGCGUUCGUCCUGACGCCAGG
RNAcentral lists this ribosomal RNA (508 nucleotides) under uncultured Bacillus sp. RNAcentral's name for it is "partial 16S ribosomal RNA". Lineage: Bacteria; Bacillati; Bacillota; Bacilli; Caryophanales; Bacillaceae. The record is from RNAcentral.